GAGCCAUUCAAUGACUUUCUCAGUAAUGUAAGUGGCAGAUCUAGAACUUAAAUCAGAUGUUUUUGUUCAAGUGAAAGAUGUUGAAUGUCAGGCUAGAAUUCUCCCAUAAAGACCAUUUGCACAUCAACUAUUUGGCUACCUGAAAAGGAGCUUUUCAGCCACUGAGAAUUCAGAGCCUUUAAUGAUUCUGGAGACCUCUUAGGAGAUAUGACUGUAUGUGGCACUGCUGGAGACACCUCUUGAAGGGUGUGGGGACUAUCCCUAGCUUUGUGACUGAAGACUUGCCAGGUCCUGGAAGCAUCUGGGAAGUGUUUUGGUUGAGGAGAGUUGAAUGUUUGAAGAAGAAAAUAUCAGAGUGACAUUCCUGCUGCUGGCUCCCCUCUGAUGUACCGCCCUUGUGCUUUCUCCUACUGCACUUGCGAUCCAGCAGCCUACAAAGAACAUGUGCUUUCGAAUGAAAGCCCUGCUCCAGCACUCACUAGCUAGUUAACCUUAGGAGUAUUAUUUCAAAGCUCUUGGAGCCUCGGUUUUCCUCAUCUGUUAAAAUGGGACCAUAAAUACUUAACUCA
Molecule: long non-coding RNA, 569 nt
Filed under: Homo sapiens (human)
Lineage: Eukaryota; Metazoa; Chordata; Mammalia; Primates; Hominidae
Description: HSALNT0140883
Source: RNAcentral